RNAcentral lists this ribosomal RNA (743 nucleotides) under Microbacterium maritypicum. RNAcentral describes it as "bacterial SSU rRNA". It matches the Rfam family "Bacterial small subunit ribosomal RNA", at positions 82 to 845 of the family's 1533-position model. Lineage: Bacteria; Bacillati; Actinomycetota; Actinomycetes; Micrococcales; Microbacteriaceae. The record is from RNAcentral.
CUCUGUGGGAUCAGUGGCGAACGGGUGAGUAACACGUGAGCAACCUGCCCCUGACUCUGGGAUAAGCGCUGGAAACGGCGUCUAAUACUGGAUACGAGUAGCGGCCGCAUGGUCAGUUACUGGAAAGAUUUAUUGGUUGGGGAUGGGCUCGCGGCCUAUCAGCUUGUUGGUGAGGUAAUGGCUCACCAAGGCGUCGACGGGUAGCCGGCCUGAGAGGGUGACCGGCCACACUGGGACUGAGACACGGCCCAGACUCCUACGGGAGGCAGCAGUGGGGAAUAUUGCACAAUGGGCGCAAGCCUGAUGCAGCAACGCCGCGUGAGGGAUGACGGCCUUCGGGUUGUAAACCUCUUUUAGCAGGGAAGAAGCGAAAGUGACGGUACCUGCAGAAAAAGCGCCGGCUAACUACGUGCCAGCAGCCGCGGUAAUACGUAGGGCGCAAGCGUUAUCCGGAAUUAUUGGGCGUAAAGAGCUCGUAGGCGGUUUGUCGCGUCUGCUGUGAAAUCCGGAGGCUCAACCUCCGGCCUGCAGUGGGUACGGGCAGACUAGAGUGCGGUAGGGGAGAUUGGAAUUCCUGGUGUAGCGGUGGAAUGCGCAGAUAUCAGGAGGAACACCGAUGGCGAAGGCAGAUCUCUGGGCCGUAACUGACGCUGAGGAGCGAAAGGGUGGGGAGCAAACAGGCUUAGAUACCCUGGUAGUCCACCCCGUAAACGUUGGGAACUAGUUGUGGGGUCCAUUCCACG